Molecule: small RNA, 109 nt
Filed under: Marmota monax (woodchuck)
Lineage: Eukaryota; Metazoa; Chordata; Mammalia; Rodentia; Sciuridae
Source: RNAcentral
GCUGGGCGUGGUGGUGUAUGCCUGUAAUCUCAGCGGCUCAGGAGGCUGAGGCAGGAGGAUUGCAAGUUCAAAGCGAGGCCCUAAGUAACUAAGCAAGACCCUGUCUCAA